This 466-nucleotide ribosomal RNA is filed under the name uncultured bacterium. RNAcentral describes it as "partial 16S ribosomal RNA". It matches the Rfam family "Bacterial small subunit ribosomal RNA", at positions 29 to 507 of the family's 1533-position model. The record is from RNAcentral.
ACGAACGCUGGCGGCGUGCUUAACACCUGCCAGUCGAACGGAAAGGCCUCUUUCGGGGGGUACUCGAGUGGCGAACGGGUGAGUAACACGUGAGUAACCUGCCCUUGACUUUGGGAUAACUUCAGGAAACUGGGGCUAAUACCGGAUAGGAGCUCCUGCUGCAUGGUGGGGGUUGGAAAGUUUCGGCGGUUGGGGAUGGACUCGCGGCUUAUCAGCUUGUUGGUGGGGUAGUGGCUUACCAAGGCUUUGACGGGUAGCCGGCCUGAGAGGGUGACCGGCCACAUUGGGACUGAGAUACGGCCCAGACUCCUACGGGAGGCAGCAGUGGGGAAUAUUGCACAAUGGGUGGAAGCCUGAUGCAGCAACGCCGUGUGCGGGAUGACGGCCUUCGGGUUGUAAACCGCUUUCGCCCAUGACGAAGCUUUGUGUGACGGUAGUGGGUAAAGAAGCACCGGCUAACUACGUG